UAGAGUUUGAUCCUGGCUCAGAUUGAACGCUGGCGGCAUGCCUUACACAUGCAAGUCGAACGGCAGCACGGGUACUUGUACCUGGUGGCGAGUGGCGAACGGGUGAGUAAUACAUCGGAACGUACCUUAUCGUGGGGGAUAACGCAGCGAAAGCUGUGCUAAUACCGCAUACGCCCUGAGGGGGAAAGCGGGGGAUCGAAAGACCUCGCGCGAUUAGAGCGGCCGAUGCCUGAUUAGCUUGUUGGUGGGGUAAAAGCCCACCAAGGCGACGAUCAGUAGCUGGUCUGAGAGGACGAUCAGCCACACUGGGACUGAGACACGGCCCAGACUCCUACGGGAGGCAGCAGUGGGGAAUUUUGGACAAUGGGGGAAACCCUGAUCCAGCAAUGCCGCGUGAGUGAAGAAGGCCUUCGGGUUGUAAAGCUCUUUUGUCAGGGAAGAAACACCGGCUCUAACAUAGUCCGGGAAUGACGGUACCUGAAGAAUAAGCACCGGCUAAUCUACGUGCCAGCCGCCGCGGUAAUACA
RNAcentral lists this ribosomal RNA (527 nucleotides) under uncultured Comamonadaceae bacterium. RNAcentral's name for it is "bacterial SSU rRNA". It matches the Rfam family "Bacterial small subunit ribosomal RNA", at positions 1 to 527 of the family's 1533-position model. Lineage: Bacteria; Pseudomonadati; Pseudomonadota; Betaproteobacteria; Burkholderiales; Comamonadaceae. The record is from RNAcentral.